Long non-coding RNA from Acanthochromis polyacanthus (spiny chromis), 820 nucleotides. RefSeq lists it as uncharacterized. The transcript is spliced from 4 exons. The record is from RefSeq and is a predicted model, not a curated record. NCBI's taxonomy places the organism in Eukaryota, Metazoa, Chordata, Actinopteri, Pomacentridae.
CCCUGCGCAUGCGCCACGGUCAAUGUUGGACGGAAUGACGGUAGGAUGUUAUGAAGGAGUUACCUUCUAAGAUGAGAUGGCUCACAUUGGAAGAGUGAGGAAGAGAAAACGAGUCACUCCACAACAAGAUGCAGAGCAACACAUUCACUCGAAAAUUGAUAAGGCUGGACUCGAAGAGCGUUUUAUCAAUCUGCACAAAGGUCGGGGUGUUUUUGCUACUGAGGCUUUCAGAAAAGAAGAUUUUGUGCUUGAAUACCGUGGCAACCUUCUCAAACAGGACCACCCCCUUCAUUUGAGGCACUAUGAUGACACUGAAGCAGUGUUCCUGUUUGAUUUUAAGUGGAAAGGGAAAAGUUAUUGCAGAAAUCAUCACCUGAAGUCAGCGAGCAGACUGUGGAUGAGAGUGAUCAUCAGAUCAUUGUUCAUUUUAUAUUUCUCUUUUGGAAGAAAUAGACUCAGCUUGUUACUUAGCUAACGGACAAAAUCUCUGGUUAAAGUGUACCCUGGUAAAGCGUACUUGUUGAUGUACACUGUUAGUUGGAAGUAUACUUAUCUCAACAUUUUUCUGUAUACAAAAUAGUGUCACUUUGAUGCUGGCCCCUCCUGUUCCCUAAAUGGCAAAUUAUGGUGCCAUUUGUAUGUUUCUAGCCACAGAUAUUGGUUUCUCUGAGCUCUGCAGUCAAUUAUUUUUACUGACAGCACUGACCAGCUAGCCAAAUUCUUGACCCCUGUGCAAAGUCUGUAAUUUUAGAGGAGUUUUUAUUUCCUCUGUUGUACAUGAUGUCCACACAUUGUGUUAGUAAAACACAUUUUGACAGCA